UCACAUUCUCUUAAGUAUCAAGAAGAGAAGUUGAAGCUUCACUUGAGCCAUUCAUCAGUAACUUCUUUGUACUUCAAAAGAGUUCAAUUUUUUUAUUUUUCAUUUGUGCUGAAUUUUUAUAUCUUGUAUCUUAUUUUCUUUACAAGUUUUUUUGGAGAAAAAAAAUUUGAGAUUAGGCCCGUCUAUAUCCAGAAUUGGA
RNAcentral lists this long non-coding RNA (199 nucleotides) under Elaeis guineensis (African oil palm). RNAcentral's name for it is "long non-coding RNA (EGUI_LNC049661)". Lineage: Eukaryota; Viridiplantae; Streptophyta; Magnoliopsida; Arecales; Arecaceae. The record is from RNAcentral.